UCGAGUUUUCAACUCCCAAACCCCAUGUGAACAUUACCUUUCUGUUGCUUCGGCGGGAUUGCCCCGGGGGCGCGGCCGCAAGGCCCCGAGCCCGGACCCAGGCGCCCGCCGAGGGACCCGAAACUCUUGUUUUUUUACAAUGGUAUUAUCUGAGUGGCUUAAAAAGCAAUGAAUCA
Molecule: unclassified non-coding RNA, 176 nt
Filed under: uncultured Mycogone
Lineage: Eukaryota; Fungi; Ascomycota; Sordariomycetes; Hypocreales; Hypocreaceae
Description: sequence contains ITS1
Source: RNAcentral